Dreissena polymorpha is the source of this 793-nucleotide long non-coding RNA. RefSeq lists it as uncharacterized. NCBI's taxonomy places the organism in Eukaryota, Metazoa, Mollusca, Bivalvia, Myida, Dreissenidae. The record is from RefSeq and is a predicted model, not a curated record. The transcript has 3 exons.
AUGCUAAAAAUUGUAAUGUCAGUGCUUGUAUACACCUCUGUAACAGUUCACUUGAAAAUAAUCAUAAACCCCUAACAAACAAAUCCUGCCCGCUUGAUACUUGUAAUGUGAAACUGGGGCUAUCUUUACUGGCUUGCUGGAAUGUGUAUAAUCCCUUCUGAUUGGUUGGGAGCCAAAUUUGAACGUGUAAACAUAGAUCCAUGCAGGACCUGAAAUGUAGUUUCAAAGCAAUGUUGGGAAUUUUAAAAGUUGAAGUUUUAACAAUAUCCUGAUAUACUUUAAUGGACAUUCUUAAACAAUUAAUUAGAAUGUGGAAAUCAACAUUUUGUGUGUCAACAAGUCUCUAAAAGAGGAAUUCAGUGAGUAAUGAAGCGGCCCUUUUGGAAAUGCUUUGAACUGUUAAACAGCGAUUUUCAAAAAAGAUUGUGUAGCAACUUACCCCUGACAACGACCUCAGAAGUGCAGUCACAGAGUAAUGGUGCUGUUAUCACUUAAAAGCAACCAUCAAAAAAGAUUGUGUAGCAACUUUCCCCUGACAACGACCCCUGGCUCAAUUAAGUGCAGUCACAGAGUGAUGGUACCUCACCAGGGUCUAGUUCAGGCAAUUAUGAAGAUCUCUAAAAGGGAUUUUCAUCUCAAUAUAAUAACUGUAAUUUCUUAAAACAUAAACUUACUUUAUUUACUGUGUUUUUAUGUCAUAUAACAGUGAUACAGUAAUGUGUGUUGUAUUUAGGGAUUUAUUUCUUAACGGGAUGUGUAAGAGUAAAUUAUUUUAUUUUAUUGACUGUCAGUA